Molecule: ribosomal RNA, 200 nt
Filed under: uncultured bacterium
Lineage: Bacteria
Description: partial 16S ribosomal RNA
Rfam family: Bacterial small subunit ribosomal RNA
Source: RNAcentral
AACGAACGCUGGCGGCAGGCCUAACACAUGCAAGUCGAACGAAGUAGCAAUACUUAGUGGCGCACGGGUGCGUAACGCGUGGGAAUCUGCCCUUAGGUACGGAAUAACUCGGGGAAACUCGUGCUAAUACCGUAUGAUGACGAAAGUCCAAAGAUUUAUCGCCUAGGGAUGAGCCCGCGUUGGAUUAGCUAGUUGGUGGG